GAACCAGAACUAAACUCCGAAGAACCAUGAAGUCAAUAACUAGAAGUUAUUUGGAAAAGUCUGAUCACACACAGUUUGUACAGGAAGGCACCUCUGAGACUGCUGAAUUCAAGCCAUUAUACAAGGCAUUACAUGAAGCCUAGAAACAUGAAGAGAUGAGUUCAAGGCCACAGGAUUUAUUGGUAACCCAAUGGAAAGGAACAACCAGGACUUCUGAAUCCAAGUUAAUUUCCUACUGUAAGAGUUAAUCUAAACUCUACUGUCUUUCUAGGAAAAAUAAAAGCUUAUGGU
Molecule: long non-coding RNA, 291 nt
Filed under: Bos taurus (domestic cattle)
Lineage: Eukaryota; Metazoa; Chordata; Mammalia; Artiodactyla; Bovidae
Description: long non-coding RNA NONBTAT024245
Source: RNAcentral